Oncorhynchus tshawytscha (Chinook salmon) is the source of this 530-nucleotide long non-coding RNA. RefSeq lists it as uncharacterized. Lineage: Eukaryota; Metazoa; Chordata; Actinopteri; Salmoniformes; Salmonidae. The record is from RefSeq and is a predicted model, not a curated record. The transcript has 3 exons.
CAGUGAGUGUGUGUGAGUAAGAGACAGGGAGGUAGAGAGAAAGAGAGCGAGACAGUGAGUGUGUGUGAGUAAGAGACAGGGAGGUAGAGAGAAAGGUUGCCAGGUAGAGAUCCAGCUGCAACAGGAAACCCUGGCAGCAUGCAGCCGUCCCGUCGUACUCCCGGGGAAGGGCGAGACGAAUCCGACUAGGACCUGGUGAAUGGGGAGCGAGUAGUGGAGACCCUGGCUGUCCAUGGCGACGCCGAGAUGGUGGAGCAUCGCCGCGUGCUCCCGGACGCACUCCUCGACCCCUAUCCUAGGGGCACCUGCUCCUGCUGACACCAUAUUGUGGGUCAGCCACCAGGGGGAGACGCGUCGAAGCCUGCUGACAGACGGGCAUACAACACGAGGCGAUGGCUCCAUCUGCUGGACGUGCCAGGUCUCGACGGGCUCUCCGCCCAGGACUAACUGGGGCUGAUUGGGGAGUUGAUGUGGCGUAUUGUAAUGGCCGUCGUCGGUGGAAGAAGGUGAGGACCAAGGUGCAGCGUGGU